This 453-nucleotide ribosomal RNA is filed under the name uncultured organism. RNAcentral describes it as "partial 16S ribosomal RNA". It matches the Rfam family "Bacterial small subunit ribosomal RNA", at positions 334 to 804 of the family's 1533-position model. The record is from RNAcentral.
CACUCCUACGGGAGGCAGCAGUGGGGAAUUUUACGCAAUGGGGGAAACCCUGACGUAGCGACACCGCGUGAGCGAAGAAGCCCUUUGGGGUGUAAAGCUCUGUCAGCUGGAACGAAAACAAUGACGGUACCAGCAGAGGAAGCAUCGGCUAACUACGUGCCAGCAGCCGCGGUAAGACGUAGGAUGCGAGCGUUGUCCGGAUUUAUUGGGCGUAAAGAGUUCGUAGGUGGUUUGUUAAGUUUGGUGUUAAAGAUCGGGGCUCAACCCUGGGACUGCACUGAAUACUGGCAGACUCGAGUGUGGUAGAGGCUAGUGGAAUUCCCAGUGUAGCGGUGAAAUGCGUAGAUAUUGGGAAGAACACCGGUGGCGUAGGCGACUAGCUGGGCCAUAACUGACGCUGAGGAACGAAAGCCAGGGGAGCGAAUGGGAUUAGAAACCCUAGUAGUCCCAUGA